Molecule: ribosomal RNA, 404 nt
Filed under: uncultured bacterium
Lineage: Bacteria
Description: partial 16S ribosomal RNA
Rfam family: Bacterial small subunit ribosomal RNA
Source: RNAcentral
GACGAACGCUGGCGGCGUGCUUAACACAUGCAAGUCGAGCGGAGCGGCGAACGGGUGAGUAACGCGUGAGUAACUGCCCCCCUCUCUGGGAUAACAGUUGGAAACGGCUGCUAAUACCGGAUAGUGGGGGAUGACUCGCGUCCUAUCAGCUUGUUGGUGGGGUAGUGGCCUACCAAGGCGACGACGGGUAGCCGGCCUGAGGGGGCGACCGGCCACGUGGGGCUGGGAGACGGCCCAGAAGCGUACGGGGGGCAGCAGUGGGGAAUAUUGCACAAGGGGGGAGACCCUGAUGCAGCAACGCCGCGUGCGGGAUGACGGUCUGCGGGUGGUAAACCGCUUGCAGCCAUGAUGCGGUAGUGGCAGAAGAAGCACCGGCUAACUACGUGCCAGCAGCCGCGUAAUUC